Molecule: unclassified non-coding RNA, 240 nt
Filed under: soil metagenome
Description: partial contains 5.8S ribosomal RNA, internal transcribed spacer 2, and large subunit ribosomal RNA
Source: RNAcentral
AACCUUAUGGACCUGCGGGCGUAUACCUGCGGAAGGAUCAUUACAGAGAAACAUGCCCUUCGGGGUAGAUCUCCCACCCAAUGCAUACAAUACCGCGUUGCUUUGGCAGGCCCGUCUUCUGACCACCGGCUUCGGCUGGUCCGUGCCUGCCAGAGGAUUGAAAAUUCAAUCUCUUCUGUUUUCUGGGUUAAUAUUUUGAAUCGUUAAAACUUUCAACAAUGGAUCUCAGAUCGGAAGAGC